AGCGAACGCUGGCGGCAGGCCUAACACAUGCAAGUCGAACGAACUCUUCGGAGUUAGUGGCGGACGGGUGAGUAGCACGUGGGAACGUGCCUUUUGGUUCGGAAUAACUCAGGGAAACUUGUGCUAAUACCGAAUGUGCCCUUCGGGGGAAAGAUUUAUCGCCAUUAGAGCGGCCCGCGUCUGAUUAGCUAGUUGGUGAGGUAACGGCUCACCAAGGCGACGAUCAGUAGCUGGUCUGAGAGGAUGACCAGCCACACUGGGACUGAGACACGGCCCAGACUCCUACGGGAGGCAGCAGUGGGGAAUCUUGCGCAAUGGGCGAUAGCCUGACGCAGCCAUGCCGCGUGAAUGAUGAAGGUCUUAGGAUUGUAAAAUUCGUUCACCGGGGACGAUAAUGACGGUACCCGGAGAAGAAGCCCCGGCUAACUUCGUG
This 433-nucleotide ribosomal RNA is filed under the name uncultured bacterium. RNAcentral describes it as "partial 16S ribosomal RNA". It matches the Rfam family "Bacterial small subunit ribosomal RNA", at positions 29 to 507 of the family's 1533-position model. The record is from RNAcentral.